RNAcentral lists this ribosomal RNA (468 nucleotides) under uncultured bacterium. Its description in RNAcentral is "partial 16S ribosomal RNA". It matches the Rfam family "Bacterial small subunit ribosomal RNA", at positions 28 to 507 of the family's 1533-position model. The record is from RNAcentral.
GACGAACGCUGGCGGCGUGCUUAACACAUGCAAGUCGAACGGAAAGGCCCUGCUUUUGUGGGGUGCUCGAGUGGCGAACGGGUGAGUAACACGUGAGUAACCUGCCCUUGACUUUGGGAUAACUUCAGGAAACUGGGGCUAAUACCGGAUAGGAGCUCCUGCUGCAUGGUGGGGGUUGGAAAGUUUCGGCGGUUGGGGAUGGACUCGCGGCUUAUCAGCUUGUUGGUGGGGUAGUGGCUUACCAAGGCUUUGACGGGUAGCCGGCCUGAGAGGGUGACCGGCCACAUUGGGACUGAGAUACGGCCCAGACUGCUACGGGAGGCAGCAGUGGAGAAUAUUGCACAAUGGGCGGAAGCCUGAUGCAGCAACGCCGCGUGCGGGAUGACGGCCUUCGGGUGGUAAACCGCUUUCGCCUGAGACGAAGCGUGAGUGACGGUAAUGGGUAAAGAAGCACCGGCUAACUACGUG